Molecule: long non-coding RNA, 932 nt
Filed under: Chinchilla lanigera (long-tailed chinchilla)
Lineage: Eukaryota; Metazoa; Chordata; Mammalia; Rodentia; Chinchillidae
Description: lncRNA (ENSCLAG00000027986.1)
Source: RNAcentral
UCCAAUUCUAGAGCUGAACAAUCUGAGUUUGAACCCUAAUUCUGGCACUUGUUGUGUGACCUGAGGUGAAUUAUUUAACUUCUCUGUGCCUUGUUUCAUUAAGCUGCAAAUAUGAAUUAUACCAGUGCUUACUUUAUGUGUUUAUCCUAAGGAUUAACUAAAUUAGUGUGUUUAAAGUUCUUGGAGAGGAACCCAGAACACAAGAAGAGCUAUGGGAGCUUCAGGUAUCAUUAUAAUUGGAUCCAUUUGAACAUUCAUCAUUUGGCCACUGAAAACCCAUUAUAUUCCAGACAGUGUUCUACCAACUCAUGAUACCGAGUGAAUGAGACAAACGAGAGCUCUGAAUUUAUGAUACCUAUGCAGCAGUCGAGGAGGCAGAUGAUAAACAAAAACAGUAUACCUUUCAGGCAGUGAUAAAUAUUGUUUAAAAAUGACGGGGAGGGAUGUCACAGACAGUGACCGAGAUCAAGGGCUGUCUGAGCAGAAAAUCUUCUGGACGACACAGAUGUUGAGACCUCAAUUCUAUCUCCUCGGUGAGGAACACUAAGCAGAAGCAAGUUCCAUCAUUCUCCAUUCUUCAAGCGUCUAUAAUGACAGCUCCUUCCUAUUUUAACGUUAUACAUUUUAUGUAUACACCAUAGAUAUUUUUAAGGAUAAUGAAUAAAACAGCUAAUGACCAAGAUGUUUGGAAAGUAGGAGCUUGUCUCUAUGGAGAGUCACCCCAAAUGACAGGACCAACAGGACAGGAGGGAAGAAACAGAGGAACAUCGUCGCUCCACUCCAACAUCCUCCCAGGCCCUCCAGGCAGUUCAGACUUCAGUCACCUACGUCCUGUCAUCAGUCAACUUCAGGAAACUUUUCAAAAUUGUUGCCCAAUCUACAAGGACAGGAGACAGCUGUUCAAAAUGAGUCAAGGAAGGCCAGAGCUCUGA